AACGCACAUGGCACUUCUCUUAAUCGAGGAGUAUGCUUGUUUCAGUGUCGACCCAAUCUCCCAAUUCAUGUAACAAUGAAUUGCUGGGCCGAUGAUCGCUCUGCUUUUUAUAAGCAUGGCGUUUCAAGGAUAAUAGGACAUGUGGACUAGGAGUUCCAUUUAUAUGGCUCAUAGAUCUUCACAUGGUGUGGUGGUGUUUUCCCUCACGGGCAAAACUCUAAAGCCCCCAAGUGAAUGUAUCUCAUAUAAAUGCCUUUUCUAUGGUCAGAUAUGUAACAAUAUCGAAACCAAACAUUCUUUUUGUAUCCGACCUGAAAUCAAGUAAGAAGACCCGCUGGAUUUAA
RNAcentral lists this unclassified non-coding RNA (344 nucleotides) under uncultured fungus. RNAcentral's name for it is "partial contains ITS1, 5.8S rRNA and ITS2". Lineage: Eukaryota; Fungi. The record is from RNAcentral.